Molecule: long non-coding RNA, 845 nt
Filed under: Homo sapiens (human)
Lineage: Eukaryota; Metazoa; Chordata; Mammalia; Primates; Hominidae
Description: HSALNT0156322
Source: RNAcentral
UCACAGGGUCUCAGGUUUCCUUUGUGUAUUUUCUCUUAAAUUGGGAUUCCAAACUGUAGACCUUUCAGGCCCUACAGAACAUGGAUCUGCCCUGGGGUUCACCAGGCUUAUGUUUCCUCUUUCCCUAAAGGCAACUGUCUUCCAAGGGCGGGGCCCAGUAAACCUUCCGCGUCACCUCCCAUGGUGUGAAGCACACAGACAGCACAAUCGGCAAAUAAAGACUGAACCGAGUUUAAUCGAAGCUGCAGGUACCGGUGCUGCAGCAGAUCAAAGAAGGGUGUGGAAGGCCUGGAGGGAAGAAGUCCAGACAGAGCUUGAGGCCCCGGAAAGACCAGAGGCACCCGCUCCCCACCGCCCGCCCCCGGGAGCCUCCUAAACGUCAGGGGCUGUGGGGUACAUCACUCCCACCUCUGUGAAAGCCUCUCUCCCAGCGCUCAAAAGCCACGAAACAGGUCCCUCACAUAGGCUGAUGAGUGGUGGGCCUGGGACGGUGGUAGGACUCCCUCCUUGACCAGACGUUAGAGGUCUGGUCCUCUGAGCUCUUUCUCACUAGGACUCAUCCCUGGGCCCUUCCUUGGCCUGCUGAAGCCAGUUGUAGCCAAGAGUCCCGCUACGUUGAUUCCCCACCCCUUCACAUCUGAUUACCCUUGACAGCUGAUUAAGUUCCUCACCUGCACCCCUGAUAUCUGAUGACCUUGGCCUGCCUUUAGCAAGGAUCUUCCUGCCUUGAUGUCUCCUCUUAGUAAUUUUCCAUCCACUGACCCCGCCCCUCCCUUGGCUCCUCAGCUAAACAUCCCCACUUCUGUUGUAUCUGGAACUGAACUCAGUUCUAUACUGAAGCCUCU